Molecule: long non-coding RNA, 289 nt
Organism: Apis dorsata (giant honeybee)
Lineage: Eukaryota; Metazoa; Arthropoda; Insecta; Hymenoptera; Apidae
Exons: 2
Source: RefSeq, a predicted model, not a curated record
UAAAAAUGUAAACAACUGAAAGCAAUUAAGUAAAAAAUAAGAAAAAGCGUGAUUCGAACGAAGAAUAAAAAGUGAAGAAAAAGGAUAGGGCAUCGGGAUCGAUGUGGUCCUCCCUGUGGACUUAGUGCACAGUAGGGGCGCACGCUCCUCCAGGGUAGGAUUAGUCACGAUCCCACUCGGUCGUAAAGUUUCAAAGAUUGCAGACACACUACAUUUUCCUUCCAAUCGAUUCUGGCGAGAGACUCGAUCUGAAUUCGAUAGAUAAAAACGACAAAAGAAUUUUCUUUAG